UCGGAUGUGCCCGCAAGGGUGCAUGGCAGACGGGUGAGUAACGCGUGGGGAACCUACCUCUUUGUGGGGAAUAACGUUCCGAAAGGAAUGGUAAUACCGCAUGAGACCAUGGACUGGGACGUCCAUGGUGAAACCUGGGGACCGUAAGGCCUGGGGCAAGGAGAGGGUCCUGCGUCUGAUUAGCUAGUUGGUGGGGUAACGGCCUACCAAGGCGACGAUCAGUAGCCGGCCUGAGAGGGUGAUCGGCCACACUGGAACUGAGACACGGUCCAGACUCCUACGGGAGGCAGCAGUGGGGAAUUUUGCGCAAUGGGCGAAAGCCUGACGCAGCAACGCCGCGUGGGUGAUGAAGGUCUUCGGAUCGUAAAACCCUGUCGUCAGGGACGAAGGUCGGGGAGUGAAUAGCUCUUUGGCUUGACGGUACCUGGAGAGGAAGCCCCGGCUAACUCUGUGCCAGCAGCCGCGGUAAUACAGAGGGGGCAAGCGUUAUUCGGAAUUAUUGGGCGUAAAGGGCGCGUAGGCGGUGUUUUAAGUGAGAUGUGCAAUCCCCGGGCUUAACCUGGGAACUGCAUCUCAGACUGGAACGCUGGAGUACUGGAGAGGGUGGUAGAAUUCCACGUGUAGCGGUGAAAUGCGUAGAGAUGUGGAGGAAUACCAGUGGCGAAGGCGGCCACCUGGACAGUAACUGACGCUGAGGCGCGAAAGUGUGGGUAGCAAACAGAUUAGAUACCCUGGUAGUCCACGCUGUAAACGAUGAACACUUGUGUGGUGGGAGUUGACCCCCCGCC
RNAcentral lists this ribosomal RNA (788 nucleotides) under uncultured bacterium. RNAcentral's name for it is "bacterial SSU rRNA". It matches the Rfam family "Bacterial small subunit ribosomal RNA", at positions 62 to 843 of the family's 1533-position model. The record is from RNAcentral.